CAGACUCCACACUCGACUCAAUCACAAGACUGAUACUAAAGACAUACCACAAGACUCACAAAUUAUCAUCUAAGGUCUUUUAUUCACUAUUCUAACAAUGGAUACGCAAGGGGUGCCUCCCAAGAGCGCUCUUUCUUUUUCGUCUUUGAGCUAGACGAUACCUGGAUUACGCUCCCCAACUUAGAACCUCCUUGAAUUCCAUUAGCUUCUUCAAGGAUUGGAGUUGAAUGCCAAGUAGCACCCUUAGAGAGAGAUGAAGGAGCUGAAGCGGUUGUGCGUGACAACUCUUUCCUUGUUGUGGCUUCCUCCUUGUGGAUGUGUACGCUUGAAGAGGGUAGAGGUAGGUUGGUGAGUGAACAUCAAGCUCUACAAUGCUCCCCAAG
This 383-nucleotide long non-coding RNA is filed under the name Linum usitatissimum (flax). RNAcentral describes it as "long non-coding RNA (LUSI_LNC002365)". The record is from RNAcentral. Lineage: Eukaryota; Viridiplantae; Streptophyta; Magnoliopsida; Malpighiales; Linaceae.